RNAcentral lists this ribosomal RNA (717 nucleotides) under uncultured bacterium. RNAcentral describes it as "bacterial SSU rRNA". It matches the Rfam family "Bacterial small subunit ribosomal RNA", at positions 28 to 738 of the family's 1533-position model. The record is from RNAcentral.
AUUGAACGCUGGCGGCAGGCUUAACACAUGCAAGUCGAGCGGAAACGAAGGUAGCUUGCUACCAGACGUCGAGCGGCGGACGGGUGAGUAAUGCUUAGGAAUCUACCGAGUAGUGGGGGAUAGCCAUUGGAAACGAUGAUUAAUACCGCAUAUAUCCUACGGGGGAAAGCAGGGGACCUUCGGGCCUUGCGCUAUUCGAUGAGCCUGAGUGAGAUUAGCUAGUUGGUGGGGUAAAGGCCUACCAAGGCGACGAUCUCUAGCUGGUCUGAGAGGAUGAUCAGCCACACUGGGACUGAGACACGGCCCAGACUCCUACGGGAGGCAGCAGUGGGGAAUAUUGCACAAUGGACGAAAGUCUGAUGCAGCCAUGCCGCGUGUGUGAAGAAGGCCUUCGGGUUGUAAAGCACUUUCAGCGAGGAGGAAAGGUCAGUAAGUAAUAUUUGCUGGCUGUGACGUUACUCGCAGAAGAAGCACCGGCUAAUUUAGUGCCAGCAGCCGCGGUAAUACUAAAGGUGCAAGCGUUAAUCGGAAUUACUGGGCGUAAAGCGCGCGUAGGUGGUUUGUUAAGUUGGAUGUGAAAGCCCAGGGCUCAACCUUGGAACUGCAUUCAAAACUGACUCACUAGAGUACGAGAGAGGUUAGUGGAAUUUCCUGUGUAGCGGUGAAAUGCGUAGAGAUGGGAAGGAACACCAGUGGCGCGCGACUGACUGGCUCGAU